Molecule: long non-coding RNA, 687 nt
Filed under: Felis catus (domestic cat)
Lineage: Eukaryota; Metazoa; Chordata; Mammalia; Carnivora; Felidae
Description: lncRNA (ENSFCAG00000045018.2)
Source: RNAcentral
AUGGAAGAGCAGAAUAUGUGCUGCAGAAAAUUUCUCAUUCAUCAUUACUCAUUCUUGACUGGAGACAAAAAGAUUAUUAUCCUGAAAGACCAGGCAGAACGCCAUCUAAUAACUAAUGAAAAUUUUCAGAGGAAUGUCCUUACAUUGCAGCUGUGCAAAAAUAUUUUCUUCAUUUGGAAACCAACCCAAGAUCACUUUUAUCUUUGUGCAGAUGACUCUCAUUUGGCCGACUCUUUCACGGAAGCUAUUCUGGAAAUUCUAGAAGAAACCUUCAAAGAGGGUGGUGAUUCAACGACACACAAUGAAAACACCUUGAGAAGUAAUACAAUAUCAACCUUUGAUGACUUUAUUACAGUUCAUUCUAUAGCCAUAUAUAAGAGAGAGCUGUGUCAGAAGUGGGUUCUGAUACCUACAUGAUAAGAGCAGGACUCAUUGGAAACCAGCAUGCCAUUCUGAUGCCACCAGUAUUGCAAUGUAAUUAUCAUUUCCGAGAAGGAAAAGAGAAAGAAGUGAACAUAAAGGCUACAGAGAAGUAAUUGCUGACAGUGCAAACAGAAAUAGAAACAACUGAAGUGCAAGAUAUGGAACCACUGAUAGCCAUAUAAAGUGACACUGAAGUACAUAAGUUGCCAUUGGGGAAAAGAGGAGAAAACGUAUUAAUAAAAACAGAAAUGUAGUUUGGGAACA